Molecule: RNA transcript, 4420 nt
Organism: Rhinolophus ferrumequinum (greater horseshoe bat)
Lineage: Eukaryota; Metazoa; Chordata; Mammalia; Chiroptera; Rhinolophidae
Gene: LUC7L3
Gene name: LUC7 like 3 pre-mRNA splicing factor
Exons: 14
Source: RefSeq, a predicted model, not a curated record
ACAGCUUCAAGGGAGGAGGACGGACACAGGGAAAGAAAAAAAAGCAUACUUGAGAGCCAGAAAAGCCUUAUCCUCUGGCGCAGGCUGUUUACCAGGCAUCAAAAAUAAUUGGGAAUUAUCGAACUCACUGGGUGUAUUAAGCAGGCACUGUUCUAACCACUGAAGAUGCUGCUGCAAACUAAAUCAGAGCCCCUGACUUCAAAGAACACACAGUCUAGCAGGAGAGAGGAGGCAAACUACAGAAUGUGAAAGGUAUUACAAUAGAAACAGUAUGGCAUAUGGCAUACUGGUUGUGAACAUGAAGAUUGAGACUGGAUUGCUUCAGUUUGUAUCCCAGGAUUGUUCUAUGGAUUGAAUGAAUAUGUGUAAAGCCUGGACAUUGGAAACACUCAAUGGAUUGUAGUGAAUCAGGGGAAUCCGGGUGCGAGGACCAACCCGUGUAGAAGAGGCGGCAAAUGCAGUGACUGGGAAAAUGGAGUCGGAACAUGGAAUGAGUCCUGAUCUUCAAUUUUCUCCACUGGAAGAUGGCACCGAGUGCGUUGAGUGGGACCAAGGGAUACACUGCCCUUUUCUCCAUUUCGGAGCCGUGUCAAAACUUCAAGACGUAGGCUCCUAUUUCUCACCGUGAAAGAGCUCGGGAAGACCGGCCUUGUGGAAACAUACAGGCCCAGUUACCGUGCGCAACAGGCAAACAGCGGAAUCCAGGCCUGGCCUCGGCAGGCCCCGCCCCUAGGCCGGCGGAAGCGGGCCCGACCUCGCCUCCCAGGCUUGGGCGUGUCCCCAAGGGCGCACGCGCGUGCACGGCAUGCUGGGAAAGCUCCCGCGCGGCGGCCAUUUUGUCUUAUCGGCUCCUUUUCGGAGGAGGCUUUUUUGGCCUGCGAGCGAGCAGGAGAGGUUAGCGACGGUGUCGCUGGCGUUGUCUUCGGUUGGUGCCAGGGCUGGUGGGAGCAGCCGCCCGAGGAAAGCACCAUGAUUUCGGCCGCGCAAUUGUUGGAUGAGUUAAUGGGCCGGGACCGAAACCUCGCCCCGGAUGAGAAGCGCAGCAACGUGCGGUGGGACCACGAGAGCGUUUGUAAAUAUUAUCUCUGUGGUUUUUGCCCUGCGGAAUUGUUCACCAACACUCGUUCUGAUCUUGGUCCAUGUGAAAAAAUUCAUGAUGAAAAUCUACGAAAACAGUAUGAGAAAAGUUCUCGUUUUAUGAAAGUUGGCUAUGAGAGAGACUUUUUGCGAUAUCUGCAGAGCUUACUUGCAGAAGUAGAACGUAGAAUUAGACGAGGCCAUGCUCGUUUGGCAUUAUCUCAAAACCAGCAGUCGUCUGGGGCAGCUGGCCCAACAGGCAAAAAUGAAGAAAAAAUUCAGGUUCUAACAGAUAAAAUUGAUGUACUCCUGCAACAGAUUGAAGAACUAGGAUCUGAAGGAAAAGUAGAAGAAGCCCAGGGAAUGAUGAAAUUAGUUGAACAGUUAAAAGAAGAGAGAGAAUUACUUAGGUCCACAACUUCGACGAUUGAAAGUUUUGCUGCCCAAGAAAAACAAAUGGAAGUUUGUGAAGUGUGUGGAGCUUUUUUGAUAGUAGGAGAUGCCCAGUCCCGGGUAGAUGAUCAUUUGAUGGGAAAACAGCACAUGGGCUAUGCCAAAAUUAAAGCUACUGUAGAAGAAUUAAAAGAAAAGUUAAGAAAAAGAACUGAAGAACCUGAUCGUGAUGAGCGUUUAAAAAAGGAGAAGCAAGAACGAGAAGAAAGAGAAAAAGAACGGGAGAGAGAAAGAGAAGAAAGAGAAAGGAAAAGACGAAGAGAAGAGGAAGAAAGAGAAAAAGAAAGGGCUCGUGACAGGGAGAGAAGAAAAAGAAGUCGUUCACGAAGUCGGCAUUCAAGCCGAACUUCUGACCGAAGAUGCAGCAGGUCUCGGGACCACAAAAGAUCACGAAGUAGAGAGAGAAGGAGAAGCAGAAGUAGAGAUCGACGAAGAAGCAGAAGCCACGAUAGAUCAGAAAGGAAGCAUAGAUCUCGUAGUCGGGAUCGAAGAAGAUCAAAAAGCCGGGAUCGAAAGUCAUACAAGCACAGGAGCAAAAGUCGGGACAGAGAACAAGAUAGAAAAUCUAAGGAGAAAGGGCAGAAGAUAAGAUUAUUGGACUGACUACUAGUCCUCUACGGGGCAACAAGACGACUCUUCCACAUUGAAGCUACCUGUGCACCGGAGAAGCCCAUAAGGCACAAAGGGAGGACUUUUCCACAAGAAAAGAGGGGAUCUGAUGAUAAAAAAAGUAGUGUGAAGUCCAGUAGUCGAGAAAAACAGAGUGAAGACACAAACACUGAAUCAAAGGAAGGUGAUACUAAGAAUGAGGUCAAUGGGACCAGUGAAGACAUUAAAUCUGAAGGUGACACUCAGUCCAAUUAAAACUGAUCUGAUAAGACCUCAGAUCAGACAGAGGUAAGUGUAUUGUUUCUCACUUUGAUUAGGGCUUUUUGUUACUGUUUGACAGUGCAGCGUAAGUAUGCACAGAUGAAGAUGGAACUAAGCCGAGUAAGAAGACAUACAUCUUCUGAAGGAAAAGACAGUGUAGUCCUGCAAAACAUUUUGAGGUACAUUGUUUUGUCUCAGCUAUUUUGUAGCAGACUCGUGCCCAUUAGUGUGCCUCUUUGGAAAUUAUUGCCCACAUUUGUAAUAUAGUCGCCAUUGAAAAGUUAAUUAUCCUUUUUUUAGGGAUUUUGCUGUCAUUUCUUUUUUUUUAAUAAAAAGGUUGAACUGUUUUUUUUUUCUUUUUGGUAUUAAGUCCAUCUUGUGUUGGUACAUUGGCAGAGACAUAUGCUUUAAAAACUUAAAUAUUUCUGAGGCACAUGUUGGACUACUUUGUUUUAAUUAAACUGCUAGUUAUUUCUUUGUCAAGGAUGUUUCUAGUUUUUUGCUUUAUUGCCUUGCAUUCUAAUGCAGUUUGUUCUGUAACUCGAGAGCCAGUAGCAUUGGAUUGAUGGAAGUGUAGGGUUUAUGAAUUAUUGCAGCUGACUACCAUACCUCACACAGCGUUGGUGUUGUGAGCGGCCCAUGAAAAGCCAAAUUAAAAAUCAAGGAUUCAGUCAAACUAAGCAGGUACUCAUGCCAGGUACUCCUUUCUCUACCCACAUCCAUGUUUGAAUGCUAUUGCCUGUGAUCUUUACGCUUAACUGUUGUGUAUCUUUUUUGUUCUUUACAAGAAGCACAGAGGGGUUUUUUGUGUAUUGCGUGGAAACUUAUAAAUCAAAUGUUAACAGAAUGGAAUUUUUUUUCAACUGUAUGUAGGGAUGCAGUGGUGCCCAGAAUUAGAUAUCUUUAAAGAAUUUUAAAUACAAUAAACACUUCAUAUUAUUCGCCUUGUUACAUUCAGUGCAGUUCUCAAGUCUUUAAGAGGUAUGUGUUUAAUAUUUCCUACUGUGUAGGAGAAUUUGCAGUCAGCCAUAGGAAUAUAGGAAUAAUCACUGGCUGAUAUAUUUAAAGCAGCAGUGAAUAGCAGGGAUAGACACCUUCAAUCUGCAAAGUACUAAUGAACCAUAUAGAAUGAAUUUGGGUUUUUAAAGAACUGUUAAAAGUCAGGUUUUGUAAAAGUUCUUAAAACCUAUAAACUGUUCAUUCUUUGGGCUAGUGGCGUGGGAUAGAAGAUUCCUAAUGAAAGGAAGUACCAAUUAGUUGAUUUGUCGAUGGCAUUCCUUUUCUGGGACAGCAAUAUAGUGUUAUGUCUGUGUGAGCCAUUCCCACAUAGGCAAGCCCACACAGGCACAUGGCUUUUAAGACCACACUGAUGCCUUGAUAAUUAAAAAGAAUACAAACAUUCCAUAUACAUAUAUUAAUUAGUAGUUAGUGACUGGGCCAACACUUAGUCAUAAAAGUUUGCCUUUUACAUGUUGUCUAAUUAUCAUUUUUCCCCAAAUUUUGCAUUAUAGGACUACUGUUCGAAGAUUUUUGGAAGAAAAAUGAAAACGGCAUAAAGUGAAGACCGACAUUAAAAUGAGGUGAAAGAAAACUAUAGUGGCAUAGACAAAGUAUAAAGCUCAGUUAGCUUUUUUUUUUUAUUAUUAUUAAAAAAAUUAAUUCAGGACUGAUGUGACCUACCAGAUUUCAGAACGUGUUAAUAGCAUAUAAAUGCCACUGAAAACUUAGGUCUUGUAUCAUAUUUUUUUCUUUAAGACUUUUUAAGAAAUAUUACCUAAACAUGUGGCUUGCUCAGUGUUUAAUUGCAAGUUUCAUUCUUGGACUUUGAAAACGGGAUUAAACGUUAGUAUUCGUGUGAAUCAGACUAAGUGGGAUUCCAUUUUUACAACUCUGCUAUACCUAGCCUUUGGAUUUAGAAGUGAAAAUAAAGUAUCUCUGAGUUUCUGUUACAAAUCUGAUUGUCUCUGUCAUUGAAAAGUUUUAGUAUUAAUCUUUUUCUAAUAAAGCUAUUGACUCUGAA